This 325-nucleotide small nucleolar RNA is filed under the name Schizosaccharomyces pombe (fission yeast). RNAcentral describes it as "U17 small nucleolar RNA". Lineage: Eukaryota; Fungi; Ascomycota; Schizosaccharomycetes; Schizosaccharomycetales; Schizosaccharomycetaceae. The record is from RNAcentral.
AUCAUGAAUCUGAAGUUACAUUGUUCAGAUUCUUUCGAGAAUCUUGCGUGUAACAUGGUUGGCGUGUAGAGGUUGACAAGAGUACAGACAGGGCGGCGAUUGUCCUUGCAGUUUCGACUGCAGGUUGAGAGUUGGCGUCUUGCCAUGAAAAUUGACUAAAGGAUGCUGCGUAGCUAGCCAACAGAUUCUAAAACGAUUGGAGUGAUCCUGAUCCUUCUCCUUUGGAGAGGAAUUGGUUGAUCCUCUGACAACUGUAUAUUCCUAAAUCUUUCGCUACAUGAUCUCUGGAUCCUUGCAGUUGGGUAAAACCAUACAGUUGACAUUU